GCGGUAAGAGCUCGCUAGGGUCGUUUGUUACGUCGGAUGUGAAAACCUGAGGCUCAACCUCAGGCCUGCAUUCGAUACGGGCAAACUAGAGUUUGGUAGGGGAGACUGGAAUUCCUGGUGUAGCGGUGGAAUGCGCAGAUAUCAGGAGGAACACCAAUGGCGAAGGCAGGUCUCUGGGCCAAUACUGACACUGAGGAGCGAAAGUCUGGGGAGCGAACAGGAUUAGAUGCCCUGGUAGUCCAGACCGUAAACGGUGGGCACUAGUUGUGGGAACCUUCCACGGUUUCUGCGACGCAGCUAACGCAUUAAGUGCCCCGCCUGGGGAGUACGAUCGCAAGAUUAAAACUCAAAGGAAUUGACGGGGCCCCGCACAAGCAGCGGAGCAUGCGGCUUAAUUCGACGCAACGCGAAGAACCUUACCAAGGCUUGACAUAUAGGGAAAAGUGGCAGAGAUGUCAUGUCCGCAAGGGCUCUAUACAGGUGGUGCAUGGUUGUCGUCAGCUCGUGUCGUGAGAUGUUGGGUUAAGUCCCGCAACGAGCGCAACCCUCGUUCUGUGUUGCCAGCAUUUANUUGGGGACUCACAGGAGACUGCCG
RNAcentral lists this ribosomal RNA (595 nucleotides) under uncultured Actinomycetes bacterium. RNAcentral describes it as "bacterial SSU rRNA". It matches the Rfam family "Bacterial small subunit ribosomal RNA", at positions 558 to 1154 of the family's 1533-position model. Lineage: Bacteria; Bacillati; Actinomycetota; Actinomycetes. The record is from RNAcentral.